UAAUAAUAAUCAUAAUUAUAAUAAUAUCGUCGUCAUCGUUGUGUGCUUUCGAACCUUUGGACGCGACAAAGAUCCCGGAAAAUCGGUCGAAUGGACGGUGCAGGCAGUGACAGUCUCCCGGGGGACCUUGCAGAGGAUCAGUAUACGAGAAAUCCUAAUUUUACCCCUUAAUCACUAUAUAUCUACUGCCGACAUUUCGGUCUAAUUACUACAGUUGGACGAAAACAUAAAAUCUGUACACAUGUACGUACCGGCUCAUAGUCAUCAUGCCAGAGUGACCAUUUAGCCCAGUGUUACCAACGAGGAAGCG
Molecule: non-coding RNA, 310 nt
Organism: Cinara cedri
Lineage: Eukaryota; Metazoa; Arthropoda; Insecta; Hemiptera; Aphididae
Source: the annotation of a GenBank genome assembly